UACGGAGGGUGCAAGCGUUGUUCGGAAUUAUUGGGCGUAAAGCGCGUGUAGGCGGUUGAGUAAGUCAGAUGUGAAAGCCUUCCGCUUAACGGAAGAAGUGCAUUUGAAACUGCUCAGCUAGAGUACGGGAGAGGAGAGUGGAAUUCCCGGUGUAGAGGUGAAAUUCGUAGAUAUCGGGAGGAACACCAGUGGCGAAGGCGGCUCUCUGGUCCGAUACUGACGCUGAGACGCGAAAGCGUGGGGAGCAAACAGGAUUAGAUACCCCCGUAGUCC
RNAcentral lists this ribosomal RNA (273 nucleotides) under uncultured bacterium. RNAcentral's name for it is "partial 16S ribosomal RNA". It matches the Rfam family "Bacterial small subunit ribosomal RNA", at positions 524 to 796 of the family's 1533-position model. The record is from RNAcentral.